RNAcentral lists this transfer RNA (72 nucleotides) under Marmota marmota marmota (Alpine marmot). It matches the Rfam family "tRNA". From Rfam's summary of the family: Transfer RNA (tRNA) molecules are approximately 80 nucleotides in length. Lineage: Eukaryota; Metazoa; Chordata; Mammalia; Rodentia; Sciuridae. The record is from Rfam by way of RNAcentral. RNAcentral also lists the same sequence under 3 other names.
AGUAAGGUGGCUCAAUGGUAGAGUGUUUGCUUGGCAUGCAUGAGGUGCUGGGUUCAGUUCCCAGCAGUACAC